This 254-nucleotide ribosomal RNA is filed under the name uncultured bacterium. RNAcentral's name for it is "partial 16S ribosomal RNA". It matches the Rfam family "Bacterial small subunit ribosomal RNA", at positions 524 to 776 of the family's 1533-position model. The record is from RNAcentral.
UACGUAGGGGGCAAGCGUUGUCCGGAUUUAUUGGGCGUAAAGAGCUCGUAGGUGGUUCGGUAAGUCGGAUGUGAAAUCUCCAGGCUCAACCUGGAGGGGUCAUUCGAUACUGCCGUGACUAGAGGUCGGUAGGGGAGUGUGGAAUUCCUGGUGGAGCGGUGAAAUGCGCAGAUAUCAGGAGGAACACCUAUUGCGAAGGCAGCUCGCUGGGACGUAACUGACGCUGAGACGCGAAAGCGUGGGGAGCAAACAGG